RNAcentral lists this transfer RNA (41 nucleotides) under Tetragnatha maxillosa. Its description in RNAcentral is "tRNA-Glu". The record is from RNAcentral. Lineage: Eukaryota; Metazoa; Arthropoda; Arachnida; Araneae; Tetragnathidae.
GUGGAAGUUCACGUCAUUAUUUCAUGAUGGAAUAUAUAGAC